RNAcentral lists this ribosomal RNA (449 nucleotides) under uncultured organism. RNAcentral's name for it is "partial 16S ribosomal RNA". It matches the Rfam family "Bacterial small subunit ribosomal RNA", at positions 335 to 800 of the family's 1533-position model. The record is from RNAcentral.
ACUCCUGCGGGAGGCAGCAGUGGGGAAUAUUGGACAAUGGGCGCAAGCCUGAUCCAGCCAUGCCGCGUGAGUGAUGAAGGCCCUAGGGUUGUAAAGCUCUUUCACCGGAGAAGAUAAUGACGGUAUCCGGAGAAGAAGCCCCGGCUAACUUCGUGCCAGCAGCCGCGGUAAUACGAAGGGGGCUAGCGUUGUUCGGAAUUACUGGGCGUAAAGCGCACGUAGGCGGAUCGAUCAGUCAGGGGUGAAAUCCCAGGGCUCAACCCUGGAACUGCCUUUGAUACUGUCGAUCUGGAGUAUGGAAGAGGUGAGUGGAAUUCCGAGUGUAGAGGUGAAAUUCGUAGAUAUUCGGAGGAACACCAGUGGCGAAGGCGGCUCACUGGUCCAUUACUGACGCUGAGGUGCGAAAGCGUGGGGAGCAAACAGGAUUAGAUACCCGAGUAGUCCCAUGA